Long non-coding RNA from Mirounga angustirostris (Northern elephant seal), 3022 nucleotides. RefSeq lists it as uncharacterized. The record is from RefSeq and is a predicted model, not a curated record. The transcript has 2 exons. Lineage: Eukaryota; Metazoa; Chordata; Mammalia; Carnivora; Phocidae.
UGUGCCACCGCGCCACAUAAAGCCGACGCCCCCGGCACCCUCCGUGCCUCCUCCCCGGCGGCUCCACAGUCCUCUCCCCGCUCGCGGAAAGUGGGGCGUGCGGUCGCCAGCCGGCUGCGCCGAGGUGGGUGGGGGGUCCCCCUAUCGCCCAGACUCGGUUUGCGUCCUUCCUUCAACCUUAGCUGCGGCCCCUGCCACACUCAAUAACACCACUACAUUCUCUGCACCGAAACUUCCCGCCAAGCAACACCCAGUCAAUUAACCCCAUCCUCUCCUCCAACACAGAGUACCACCCACGCACCUAGUCCCUCUCCCCGCGCUUCAGACCACCUCUGUCAUCGGAAAACCGCGUGAAGGGAAAGCAGGCAAUCAGCAGAGGAACCUGGCUGAAUUAAUGGCGGCUCCCAGAAGCUCCUGCCCCUCUGACAGCUGUCGCUUGGGCAGCCGGGGAGACGAAUCGUCCUCCUUCCUGGUGCCAGAGGACGCAGGAAAUUAGCCAGGUUGCGAGUUGCAAAGCGGCCGCCGCGGCGCCGGGAACUGGACGCGCCCCACCUCCAGCGGGAGCGGCGGGGUCGGGCCGGGCCAGGGCCUCGUCUCGCUCGCCAUCGCUGGACAAAGCGCAGCCAAGGCCAGCUGGAAGGCAGAGCUCCGAAGCAGGCAGGACGGAGCGGAGCAAAAGAAUGCGGCUCUAUUCUCGCAAGGGAAAUUAUAAAAAAGUUCAUGUUCACGGUUCCCAUCCACAUGACCGACAGCGGCCAAUGGAAGGGCCGAACAACUCAUAAAGUUGUAUUGCAAAGUUGUAAAUUUUCAUAAACAACAACGGAUUUAUGACCCUUUCCCCAUCACUAAGAGGAGGCAGCUCUUACACCGGCGCCAUCUUACCACCGAGGCCGCCCCGACUUGGGGCCGCAGGUUUAACAAACCCAGUUGGGCUGGGUUUUAUUAAAAGAGCAAUAAGAAGCGGGCCCAACCUAGGCAGGACACUGGAGUCGAGGUCUUCGCCUGCCGAGCUCAGGCUAUUCUGCGCUGUCCCCAUCGCCCCUCACCCCUACCCAGACCCUCCACCUUCCCCGCACCCGGACGCCCUCGCCAAGGCUCGGCAGCCCGGGUCUGCGGGGCCCCUGCCCCUUCCCAUAUCCCUCAUUUGCAGUGCUGUGCCUGGGCGCCCUUGCUUUGCCUGAAUGCAGGGUGGGAGGGGGGCUGCGUCAGAGGUCCUGAAUCCCACCUCCUAGCAUGGGGCCGUGUUCAGGACUCAUGGAAAAUUCGGGAUCUUGGCAGGGUGGUGUGCCCACCCCACAGCCGUACAGGAAAGGGUGGAUUUUGGAUUCGCUCAUGGAAUUUGUGGAGGGUUGUUUUUUUUUUUAAGGGAGAUUCAUAGAAUAUAAUGUAUCAUUGAAGAUUCCAUUUUCAAGAGAUCUGGAAGAUGUUUGUGCACACACACAAAACCAAGAUGAAAAUCUCCAGAGAAAUGCACAUAUAUAAUUAUGGACACACAGAAAUGCACACACUCAAUUAUGGACACAGAAAUACAUGCAACUAUUUACACCAGAAACACAUGCACUCAAUUUUGGACACAGAAUUACAUAAAAUCACUGACUUGGGUAGUAAUACACACAGACGUAUAUAAAAUACACAUACAAAAGAGGUACACACAUACCUAUACAAAUCCACACCUUAGAAUCCACACAAAAAGGGACUCGACACACACAUACACCAAUACAUGGACACUCAACACUUGGACCUUAUUUGUCCUUCCACUUUUGCUUCCCCAAAGCCCCUGUGGGCAUCCAGACAUAGCAAACUGUGGCUAGGCUAACCCCAGCCAGGUUUCCCUCUCUUUCCCAGGCCCCCCUGUAUAAAGCAGUCCACAUUUUUUUGUCACCAAGCAUCUUUAUUUUUCUGUUACAUAAAACACGGUUAGCUGGGCAAGACAGGAAGUGUGCCUUCCCAUUCCUGGAACCCCAAGCUAGAGCCUACAGGGACAAGGGGGACGCAGGACAACACAAGAGAUGAAGGGCAUUGGGAAGGGCAUCGGCCCUCCCCACCAGCUAUAAAGUUAGCUCAAGACAACACACCAUGCUACAAAGUCACCCCAUUAACACAUCCUUCCCAAAUCAAGACAUUGCCUUACAAAUGAGCUCCAAGACUAUAUAAAUGACAAAAAAAAAGUCUUGUUCAAAUAUACAAUAUUUGCUAUUGUAGGAAAAGUCAGGGUGUACAUAUUCAACAUGGCUGGACAGUAGGACAUAGGGGCCAGGGGAGGUGCAGGGAGGCUGGGAGCAUCUCUGCAGUCCUACUAAGCAGAAGCUAACCCAGAGAUCUGCAGCUAGCUUGGGAAUGCUCCCCUCCAGAAGUAGGGGUAAUGGGCCUGAACUUCAGGGGCCCAGGCCAGAGAAGGAGGGAUUCUAGGUUGCAGCACUUAGAAUGCUUUGGAAUAAAUAUAUUAUUUUUCAAUUUAAAUAGAAGCCAAUACCCUGGUCCCCGGACCCCAGCACCUUCUCCAUGCAGCCUCAGGGACCCCAAAGGCUGCCAGGCAGAAGCAGGAGGGGCCUGACGGGGGAAGGGGCCGACACUAGGUAGCAGGCGAGCCAGUGAGCACAAAAUAGGUAGUUUGGGAGGAGUAGGUAGUACUGAGAAAAUCAGGUCCUUGCCGGUAUGGAGGAGAUGCUGGGUGUCUGCCAGUGUUGGGACACGUCUGGGCUUCCUGGGAGUGGAGGCCUACCGGGGCUGGGCCCAUAGGUAGUUUGGGGUGCCUCUGGCCGAGGCCUGUGCUAGGUAGUAUUUUCGCCGUGCCAGCGCAGAGCUGGUCGGACUGGGGUUAGGGAGGGUGUCUGCUGGGGAUCCUUGGGGGCAGAGAGAUCCCCAAGGGGACCCAGUCUAGGCGGCUGCUCGGUCCAGAAAAGAUGGGAGCUGGAGUGGGUAAUGGGGCAGAUGGGUGCAGGUUGGGGACUGGGUUGUUUUUUGUUUUUUUUUUUAACGUUUCUUUUUAUUUUUUCCACUUUUGUAAAUAAAAUCAAUGAGU